GAUGAACGCUGGCGGCAUGCCUAAUACAUGCAAGUCGAACGAGAGGAAGGAAAGCUUGCUUUCCUGAAUCUAGUGGCGAACGGGUGAGUAACACGUAGGUAACCUGCCCAUGUGCCCGGGAUAACUUCUGGAAACGGAUGCUAAAACCGGAUAGGUAGCAGACAAGCAUUUGACUGCUAUUAAAGUGGCCUUGGCCAUGAACAUGGAUGGACCUGCGGUGCAUUAGCUAGUUGGUGAGGUAACGGCCCACCAAGGCGACGAUGCAUAGCCGGCCUGAGAGGGCGGACGGCCACAUUGGGACUGAGACACGGCCCAAAACUCCUACGGGAGGCAGCAGUAGGGAAUUUUCGUCAAUGGGGGGAACCCUGAACGAGCAAUGCCGCGUGAGUGAGGAAGGUCUUCGGAUCGUAAAGCUCUGUUGUAAGAGAAAAACGGCACUCAUAGGGAAUGAUGAGUGAGUGAUGGUAUCUUACCAGAAAGUCACGGCUAACUACGUG
Molecule: ribosomal RNA, 497 nt
Filed under: uncultured bacterium
Lineage: Bacteria
Description: bacterial SSU rRNA
Rfam family: Bacterial small subunit ribosomal RNA
Source: RNAcentral